Molecule: ribosomal RNA, 477 nt
Filed under: uncultured bacterium
Lineage: Bacteria
Description: bacterial SSU rRNA
Rfam family: Bacterial small subunit ribosomal RNA
Source: RNAcentral
UUCGCAAUGCCCGAAAGGGUGACGAAGCGACGCCGCGUGUGGGAAGAAGGCCUUCGGGUUGUAAACCACUGUCGGGAGUUAAGAAAUGCAAGGAUAUGAAUAGUGUCUUUGCUUGACUAAGGCUCCGGAGGAAGCCACGGCUAACUCUGUGCCAGCAGCCGCGGUAAUACAGAGGCGGCAAGCGUUGUUCGGAAUUAUUGGGCGUAAAGAGCACGUAGGCGGCUAUGUAAGUCGGUUGUGAAAGCCUUCCGCUCAACGGGAGAACAGCAUCCGAUACUACAUGGCUUGAGUGCGGGAGGGGAGGGUGGAACUUCUGGUGGAGCGGUGAAAUGCGUAGAUAUCAGAAGGAACGCCGGCGGCGAAAGCGGCUCUCUGGCCCGUAACUGACGCUGAGUGUGCGAAAGCUAGGGGAGCAAACGGGAUUAGAUACCCCGGUAGUCCUAGCCGUAAACGAUGGGCACUAAGUAGAGGGGUUUU